UCUUACAACUGGACUUGCCCAUUGUGGGACUCUGGAAGCAAUAUUUAUGGCACUGUUACAAAGUUGUUGAUUCCUAUUUGGGAAAUGAGUUUUUAAAGCCCAGAUAAGCUCCCACACCUAUCUGUGUGAUCUUGUUGUCUUACAUCUGAACUGCUACUUGGAAGACCAAAGAGUGAGCACUGGAUUGCUUGUCACUUGCUGGAGAGAUGCUGGCAUGCUAUGUUUCCUAUCCUUCACCUUUUUUUUCUUUUCUGAGACAGGGUCUUGCUUUGUUGCCCAGGCUGGAGUGCAGUGGUGUGAUCACUGCUCACUACAGUCUCGACCUCCUGGGCUCAGGUGAUCCUCCCACCUUGGCCUCCAGAGUAACUAAGACUACAGGCACACGUUACCAGGCCCCGCUAAUUUUUGUAUUUUUUUGUAGAGACAGAGUUUCACUGUGUUAGCCAGGCUGGUCUGGAACUCCUGAGCUCAAGCAAUCUGUCUGCCUUGGCCUCCCAAAGUGCUGGGAUUACAGGCAUGAGCCACUAUGCCCACCUAUCCUUCCCCUUUCUAGCACAAGUAAUUGUUUACCCUGGGCACGUGGACAAGGUCUGAUACAUUGUCUUUGGAUGAACAGGCUUCAUAUCUUCCUUACCUUGGGGAACUUGCACAAGGCCAACACUUAUACCAGCAAGUGAAGACAAUCUCUUCAACUAAUUGUCCUGGGAAAACAGAAUAUCUACAUGUAAAAGAAUAAAGCUGGACCUUUACCUUACACUAUAUACAAACAUUAAUUCAAAAAGGAUCAAAGACCUAAAUUUAAAAGCUAAAACUAUAAAAUUCAUAGAAGGAAACAUAGAUGAAAAUAUGCAUGAUCUUGGCCCAGAGCGGUGGCUCAUGCCUGUAAUCCCAGCACUUUGUGAGGCCAAAGCAAGCGGAUCACUUGAGGUCAGGAAUUUGAGACCAGCCUGACCAAUUUGAUGAAACCCCGUCUCUACUAAAAAUGCAAAAAUUAGCUGGGUGUGGUGGCGCACACCUGUAAUCCCAGAUACUCGGGAGAUGAGGCAGGAGAAUCGCUUGAACUUGGGAGGUGGAGGUUGCAGUGAGCGGAGAUUGUGCCACUGCAUGGUAGCCUGGGUGACAGUGAGACUUUGCCUCAAAAAGAAAGAAAGAAGGAAAGAAGAAUGGAAGGAAGGAAGGAGAAAAGAAAAGAAAAGAAAAGAUGCAUGAUCUUGUAUGAUCUUGAAUUUGACAAGUUUCUUAAAUAUGGCACCAAAAGUCCAGGCAACAAAAGAAAAUACAGAUAAAUUGGAUUUCAUCAAAAUUAAAAACUCUUCUACAUCAGGUGCGGUGGCUCACGUCUGUAAUCCCAGCACUUUGGGAGGCCGAG
Molecule: long non-coding RNA, 1369 nt
Filed under: Homo sapiens (human)
Lineage: Eukaryota; Metazoa; Chordata; Mammalia; Primates; Hominidae
Description: HSALNT0105534
Source: RNAcentral